RNAcentral lists this ribosomal RNA (1346 nucleotides) under uncultured bacterium. Its description in RNAcentral is "partial 16S ribosomal RNA". It matches the Rfam family "Bacterial small subunit ribosomal RNA", at positions 28 to 1381 of the family's 1533-position model. The record is from RNAcentral.
GACGAACGCUGGCGGCGUGCUUAACACAUGCAAGUCGAACGGAAAGGCCCUGCUUUUGUGGGGUGCUCGAGUGGCGAACGGGUGAGUAACACGUGAGUAACCUGCCCUUGACUUUGGGAUAACUUCAGGAAACUGGGGCUAAUACCGGAUAGGAGCUCCUGCUGCAUGGUGGGGGUUGGAAAGUUUCGGCGGUUGGGGAUGGACUCGCGGCUUAUCAGCUUGUUGGUGGGGUAGUGGCUUACCAAGGCUUUGACGGGUAGCCGGCCUGAGAGGGAGACCGGCCACAUUGGGACUGAGAUACGGCCCAGACUCCUACGGGAGGCAGCAGUGGGGAAUAUUGCACAAUGGGCGGAAGCCUGAUGCAGCAACGCCGCGUGCGGGAUGACGGCCUUCGGGUUGUAAACCGCUUUCGCCUGUGACGAAGCGUGAGUGACGGUAAUGGGUAAAGAAGCACCGGCUAACUACGUGCCAGCAGCCGCGGUGAUACGUAGGGUGCGAGCGUUGUCCGGAUUUAUUGGGCGUAAAGGGCUCGUAGGUGGUUGAUCGCGUAGGAAGUGUAAUCUUGGGGCUUAACCCUGAGCGUGCUUUCGAUACGGGUUGACUUGAGGAAGGUAGGGGAGAAUGGAAUUCCUGGUGGAGCGGUGGAAUGCGCAGAUAUCAGGAGGAACACCAGUGGCGAAGGCGGUUCUCUGGGCCUUUCCUGACGCUGAGGAGCGAAAGCGUGGGGAGCGAACAGGCUUAGAUACCCUGGUAGUCCACGCUGUAAACGGUGGGUACUAGGUGUGGGGUCCAUUCCACGGGUUCCGUGCCGUAGCUAACGCUUUAAGUACCCCGCCUGGGGAGUACGGCCGCAAGGCUAAAACUCAAAGGAAUUGACGGGGCCCCGCACAAGCGGCGGAGCAUGCGGAUUAAUUCGAUGCAACGCGUAGAACCUUACCUGGGUUUGACAUGGAUCGGGAGUGCUCAGAGAUGGGUGUGCCUCUUUUGGGGUCGGUUCACAGGUGGUGCAUGCCUGUCGUCAGCUCGUGUCGUGAGAUGUUGGGUUAAGUCCCGCAACGAGCGCAACCCUUGUUCACUGUUGCCAGCACGUUAUGGUGGGGACUCAGUGGAGACCGCCGGGGUCAACUCGGAGGAAGGUGGGGAUGACGUCAAGUCAUCAUGCCCCUUAUGUCCAGGGCUUCACGCAUGCUACAAUGGCUGGUACAGAGAGUGGCGAGCCUGUGAGGGUGAGCGAAUCUCGGAAAGCCGGUCUCAGUUCGGAUUGGGGUCUGCAACUCGACCUCAUGAAGUCGGAGUCGCUAGUAAUCGCAGAUCAGCAACGCUGCGGUGAAUACGUUCCCGGGGCU